UGCCCAAUAGCUAGCCCACCCAUCAACCCCAAAUUUACCUUAUUUAUAUCCCCAAACACACCACCACCCAACAAACAAACCAUUUUUCCACCUAAGUACGGGCGACGAAAAAGGAUUUAGGAGCAACAGAGAAAGUACCGCAAGGGAAAGCUGAAAGAGUAAUGAAACAACCCAGUAAAGCACUAAAAAGCAGAGAACACCUCUCGUACCUUUUGCAUCAUGAUUUAGCCAGUAAAUCUUAAGCAAAAAGCAUUAUAGUUUAAUUCCCCGAAACUAAGCGAGCUACUCCAAGGCAGUCUAAUUUAUAGGACCACCCCGUCUCUGUGGCAAAAGAGUGGGAUGAACUUUGAGUAGAGGUGAUAGACCUACCGAGCCUAGUUAUAGCUGGUUGCCCGAAAACUGAAUAGAAGUUCAGCCCUUUAAAUUCUCCCUCCCUGCUGGUUCAAGACCUUAACACCGGACAAAAGAAAUUAAAGGAGUUAGUCAAAGGGGGUACAGCCCCUUUGAAACAAGACACAACUUUCCAAGGAGGAUAAAGAUCACAACAAACUUAAAGGUAAAUGUCUUAGUGGGCCUAAAAGCAGCCAUCUAUUCAGAAAGCGUUAAAGCUCGAGCAUACACAACCAACCUACUAAUAUAGACAGCACAAUCUCACCCCCCUUAAACCUAUCAGGCCGUUCCAUAAAAAUAUGGAAGCGUUUAUGCUAAAAUGAGUAAUAAGAGAAUCCCUUUCUCUCCCCGCACAAGUGUAAAUCGGAACGAACCAUUCACCGACCAUUAACGGCCCCAAGACAGAGAGGGCACUAGGCAAAAAACAAACAACUAGAAAACCACCCAGCCCCCUACCGUUACCCCCACACUGGUGUGCCAACCGGGAAAGACUAAAAGAAAAAGAAGGAACUCGGCAAACACAAGCCUCGCCUGUUUACCAAAAACAUCGCCUCUUGAAACCUAAAAUAUAAGAGGUCCCGCCUGCCCUGUGACUAUAA
This 989-nucleotide ribosomal RNA is filed under the name Coptodon aff. zillii 'Kisangani'. Its description in RNAcentral is "partial 16S ribosomal RNA". The stretch from base 188 to 989 matches the Rfam family "Bacterial large subunit ribosomal RNA", at positions 568 to 1875 of the family's 2925-position model. Lineage: Eukaryota; Metazoa; Chordata; Actinopteri; Cichliformes; Cichlidae. The record is from RNAcentral.